Acanthosepion pharaonis is the source of this 86-nucleotide non-coding RNA. The record is from the annotation of a GenBank genome assembly. NCBI's taxonomy places the organism in Eukaryota, Metazoa, Mollusca, Cephalopoda, Sepiida, Sepiidae.
GCUCCUGUACGAUCACUGAAGUUAAGCAAUAUCAAGCCUGGUCAGUACCUAGAUGGGUGACCACUUGGAAAUACCAGGGGCUGUAA